GGGUGCAUGGUCUAGUGGUAUGAUUUUCGCUUCGCAUCCUCUAGUAGGCGCGGAACUUGUGAAAGGUCCUGGGUUCAAUCCCCAGUGCAUCCA
This is a non-coding RNA of Triangularia setosa, 93 nucleotides long. NCBI's taxonomy places the organism in Eukaryota, Fungi, Ascomycota, Sordariomycetes, Sordariales, Podosporaceae. The record is from the annotation of a GenBank genome assembly.